This 305-nucleotide ribosomal RNA is filed under the name uncultured bacterium. RNAcentral describes it as "bacterial SSU rRNA". It matches the Rfam family "Bacterial small subunit ribosomal RNA", at positions 335 to 658 of the family's 1533-position model. The record is from RNAcentral.
UACCUACGGGAGGCAGCAGUGGGGAAUAUUGCACAAUGGGGGAAACCCUGAUGCAGCGACGCCGCGUGAAGGAAGAAGUAUCUCGGUAUGUAAACUUCUAUCAGCAGGGAAGAAAAUGACGGUACCUGACCAAGAAGCCCCGGCUAACUACGUGCCAGCAGCCGCGGUAAUACGUAGGGGGCAAGCGUUAUCCGGAUUUACUGGGUGUAAAGGGAGCGUAGGCGGCGACGCAAGUCAGAAGUGAAAGCCCGGGGCUCAACUCCGGGACUGCUUUUGAAACUGCGUUGCUAGAUUGCGGGAGAGGC